GAGACUUCUGUGCAACAGUUGAUUCAUAUGACCCAAGUCUGCACUUUUCUCCCCCUCACCCCAAGAAGAGACCAUUGGACAGGGCUCCUUUUGAUUCUGCAUAAUGAUUGAUGCAGGAGCCUGACAGCAAUGCUCAAUCAGAGGGGCCGGCGAAGAUGUUCAACAACCUGGACAAAAUUUUACAAAAUAUUUGCUUAUCCUCAUUAGGGUCACGGCCAGGUGUGCUGAAGCCUAUCCCAGCUGAUUUCAAGCGAGAGAAGGGUCCACCCAGGACUGGUCGGCAGCCAAAUGCAGGGUCUGACAAACAACUAUUCACUUUCACCUUCACAUUAAAGCAACAUUUGGAGUCUUGAAUUCACCUAACAUGCACAUUUU
Molecule: long non-coding RNA, 375 nt
Organism: Phyllopteryx taeniolatus (common seadragon)
Lineage: Eukaryota; Metazoa; Chordata; Actinopteri; Syngnathiformes; Syngnathidae
Exons: 3
Source: RefSeq, a predicted model, not a curated record